This 438-nucleotide ribosomal RNA is filed under the name uncultured bacterium. RNAcentral's name for it is "bacterial SSU rRNA". It matches the Rfam family "Bacterial small subunit ribosomal RNA", at positions 29 to 445 of the family's 1533-position model. The record is from RNAcentral.
AACGAACGCUGGCGGCGUGGAUAAGACAUGCAAGUGGGACGCUAAUCAAGGGGUAGCAAUAUUCGUUGGUUGGAGUCGCGUAAGGGUGCGUAACACGUGGGUAAUUUGCCGUGAAGCUUGGAAUAACUUGCCGAAAGGUAAGCUAAUACCGAAUGUGACUUGUGCUGGGCAUCCAGUAUCAGUCAAAGCCGGGGAUCGUAAGACCUGGCACUUCAUGAUAAGCCCGCGGCCUAUCAGCUAGUUGGUGAGGUAACGGCUCACCAAGGCUAAGACGGGUAGCUGGUCUUAGAGGACGACCCAGCCACACUGGAACUGAGACACGGUCCAGACACCUACGGGUGGCAGCAGUCGAGAAUUUUUCACAAUGGCGAAAGCCUGAUGGAGCGACGCCGCGUGGGGGAUGAAUGGCUUCGGCCCGUAAACCCCUGUCAUUCGGGA